GAGCUCCUGGUCUAGUGGUAUGAUUCUCGUAUGUAUUAAAAACUCUGCAGACCGCUCCGCUCGCUCCACCACAGGCUUAGGGUUACACCUAAGCAAUCUUGCGAGAGGUCCCGGGUUCAAUCGCCGGGUGGCCCC
Non-coding RNA from Lasiosphaeria miniovina, 135 nucleotides. NCBI's taxonomy places the organism in Eukaryota, Fungi, Ascomycota, Sordariomycetes, Sordariales, Lasiosphaeriaceae. The record is from the annotation of a RefSeq genome assembly.